Molecule: long non-coding RNA, 2067 nt
Organism: Loxodonta africana (African savanna elephant)
Lineage: Eukaryota; Metazoa; Chordata; Mammalia; Proboscidea; Elephantidae
Exons: 2
Source: RefSeq, a predicted model, not a curated record
AUCCAGCAGCCACUGCGCUUCCGUAUCUACAUAAGACACUGCCCGGUCAGUGACAUCACCGACCGCGCUCUUCCCGCCUACCCACGGCCCGCCCCCUCCCCGCGUUUUCCUCCUCCCGUUCCUCCCAGACGGCCAAUGAGCGGGCCGGCAGCCCGAGGAAGAAGUGACGUCUCCCUUCCCCCUCCCCAGCGGCCACCGUUUACGCGGCGAGCCGAGUCGGGGGCCUGGCCCAGCCGCGUCUCUCCCGGACUGCGCGGCUUCUUCACUUCUCCUUCCCCACGCCCCUUUGGCUUUCGGCUGAAGCCUGUGCAACUUUCUCGGAAUAAUGAGUGGCUCUUAACACGUAGAAUAGAACAAAAAUUGAUAUUAGCCCUGACCUCGGGAUCAUUUUUUUCCAUGGCAUAGAAUGUAUCCUUUUUUUUUUUUUUUUUUCCCCGAAGGCACCUUACGGAGACCAAGACGAGUGUGUUACCUAGAGAAUUUGCAGCCAUCCACCCAUCACAGAGACAAACAUGUUUAAACACGUUUUGUGUGGAAUACACCCGUGCAUGUAUGAACUGGAACCCUAGCAGCAGUACUUUUUGACUUAACCCUCCUGUUACUCAGUGACAUUGGUUACACUUUUCACAAUGUGUCAGCAUUCUCGUUAUUUCCUUUGUGACGGUUCUGUUUCCAUCAGUUCCCUGGCCCUCCUUACCUUCAUCAUCGUCGGCCUAGGGUGAAUUUUGACUGUUAGGUCUCAUUAUUUAGAGGAGCACAGUAGUCGCAGGUGAUAUUUAUUUUAUGAGCCACUCUGUGUUUGGGCUGAUAGGUGAACACCAGGAGUGGUUUGAGAUCCAAGGACAAAGGGUAUCCCAGGGGGAUAGUCUCAGGCGUUCCUCUGGUCUCCACGGGUCCAAUAAGUAUUGACUUUUUUUUUUUUUAGGAAUUUGAGUUUUGUUCUAUGUUUUUCUCCCAUGCUAUCCUGGACCAUCUAUUGUAUUUGUAUCCCUGGUGGGAACGGUCGGUAAUGGUAGCCGGGCACCAUCUCGGUAUUCUGCUCUCUAGGUAGAUGAGGCUGUGCUCCCUGUAGACUAGUUUCGUCUUUGGAGUCUUUGGUUUCCUUUUUCUCUUUUGCUCCUCUUUAUUUUUCUUAAGAUAAAAAUCCUCUGGGACAACUUUCUUGGCAUUCUGACCUAGUGAAAAAACCUGGCGUCACCCUACAGUGAAGCUCAAAGUUGGCAAAGUCCACUCACUCAGGGUUUUCUAUCUGCUUUUUAGGUCUCUGCUCUUAACUAGAGGAUGACCAGAUUUACCCAGAUUUACCUGAGAAAAUCAUCUCAUACCAGCCACGGCUCUGACGGGAAACAGAAGGGAGAAAAACACACAAGACUGAGAUAGCUGAACAAAGCUUAGGUCCACCUCAAAGAGAAGUCAACAUUCCUGAAAAUCUCUAAACCCUGAGAGAAACCAGGAUGGCGUGAAGAGACUGGCAAGACUCUCCGAUGACAUGAUGAGACUUACGAGGCUUCAAUGGUAGAUCACUUUAUCGUCAAGUCCACCUCAAAGAAAAGUCAGGAUCCCUGGAAAUCUCUAAACCCUAACCUUCUCCCUAUAAAGCCCUCCAGUUAGCCCUUUAGAGUUAGACCGGAUUUGGGAGAAAUUUAACCCCCUCUGUCUCUUGGACACCGGUGUUCAAUAAAGCCCUCUUGGUGCUUACCUCCUCCUGUCUCAGUAUUGGCUUUAUAGCAUGCGGCUGGAAUCUGCGAUGUGCAGUAACAGAGAUGCUGCCUGUGGAGAUCAGAUUGAGUUGUUCCUUCCUUGCUCUUGCUGCCUUUUUCCCUUGGAAGUAUCUUUGACAGUGUUCCUACAACUCUACUAUCAUGGUUUUAAUUUCCGAGAUAUUUGUUUGCUGAAUGCGCCUUUCUUCCCUUUUUUAAUUUUUUAUCGUGCUUUAGGUGAGCGUUUACAGCUCAAGUUAAUUCCUCAUACAAAAAUAUGGGCUCAAACAUAGCAAAUAUUGUCAGGAUGACGCAGGAAUGGGCACUGUUACGUCCUGUUGUACACGGGGUCGCUAUGAGCCAGAGA